RNAcentral lists this ribosomal RNA (428 nucleotides) under uncultured prokaryote. Its description in RNAcentral is "bacterial SSU rRNA". It matches the Rfam family "Bacterial small subunit ribosomal RNA", at positions 355 to 774 of the family's 1533-position model. The record is from RNAcentral.
UGAGGAAUUUUGCGCAAUGGGAGCAAUCCUGACGCAGCAACGCCGCGUGGGUGAUGAAGGCCUUCGGGUCGUAAAGCCCUGUCAGGUGGGAAGAAUGUCCCGGGACUGAACAGGUUCCGGGAGUGACGGUACCACCAGAGGAAGCACCGGCUAACUCCGUGCCAGCAGCCGCGGUAAUACGGAGGGUGAAGGAGUUAUUCGGAAUUACUGGGCGUAAAGCGCGAGUAGGCGGUCCUGCAAGUCGGAUGUGAAAGCCCCGGGCUUAACCCGGGAAGUGCAUUGGAAACUGUGGGACUUGAGUACUGGAGAGGAUGGGGGAAUUCCCGGUGUAGAGGUGAAAUUCGUAGAGAUCGGGAGGAAUAUCAGUGGCGAAGGCGCCCAUCUGGACGGUAACUGACGCUGAGACGCGAAAGCGUGGGGAGCAAACA